CAGCUAUGGCAAAUUGCUUAUAGUUUGAACAACACAUGGUGGGAAAUGAACAUUGUUCGAUAGAGAGGCUUGCUGAAACCGUUGUAGUGCGCGAUUUGACUCGCGUAGAGCUUUGAGUUUCUUGUGAGCGGGCAGUUCAAAUUCCUUGUAACCAAUGUGAAGUAAAACGUUAAUAUCUUCGUUAGGAGUUAGUUUCAGUCAUUUUCGUUGCCUCAAUCGUGUUCUGCGUGAAAUUUUGGUUAAGAAACAUGUAUCAGAAUCCUUUAAUUCGUACCUUGUCUAGUGGUCCAUUGUGGCAAAUAUCUCAGUUUAUAUUAUUAAAAUGGUAUGCAGGUUGAUUUCAGGUGUGGAUGGAACUCAAUGAUGCUCGGCGUCAUUGGAAGUGAUCAUUUUGAAUCAUGGUAUGACAUAAACUACAGUCUCACCCUCUUCACCCCAAUUGAAGGUUUCAAGAAAAGCAGUGCCGUGUUCAAAAUCGACUAUUCUGACCAUUUGGAUUUGGAGACCAGAGUGUUACUACCAACAAUGAGGGUAGGAUUGAAAGCUCUGUGCAUCUACCAAAAAAUGAACAGCACAUCCUCUGAACUAGAUGAAGAAAGCUUCUUUGCAGAUGACUUAAUUCCGAAAAAAGAUUUGUUUUGGAGAGGAGCUGUCAACAUUGAUACAUUGUUUUAUCCAACCUUGAAAGUAGAGUUGAAUGUCACUGAACAUGAUUUAUCGUACACAACCAACUCCUUGAUAGACUUUCCAAACUUUGGUGCAAACAUCACGAACAAGCUUUUUUUCUCUGUAAGUGCGCAACAAUUUAAAUAAAUCUUUAAAACUCUAUCAAUAUAAAUUUAAAACUCAGUUUUCCGAAUGUUUUGUAUUCAAGAUCCCUAUAUCCAAAGCUACUCUGCGCCUGAGAGGUAAAAAGUGAUGAAAUGAGUUAAUUUUGUGGUUCAGCCAGGUACAAUUUUUCCAACUAACCAAAUUCGCGACUCAAAGUAGGGUCAUUCACAUUAAGGAAUGUAUCUAAUCUGGGCUGUUUCAGUAUUUCCAUGAACAUUUUAUUUUUUCAUGGGAGAACCGUUGCUUAAAUUUGUCUGGAAACUUUAAUGCCUUUUUUCACAAGUGUAAUCAAGAUUCUUUGAAAAUUUCAGGCAAAUUCAUGUGAAAUAAAAAUAAAAUGUCAGUAAGAAAUAUUGGAACAGCGCAAGUAAGGUAUGUUCUCUUGAGCAGAGAACAACAAUUUGGCCAAGGACCGGCGUAAUUUUGAU
Molecule: long non-coding RNA, 1259 nt
Filed under: Bemisia tabaci
Lineage: Eukaryota; Metazoa; Arthropoda; Insecta; Hemiptera; Aleyrodidae
Description: lncRNA ENSSSA1NGG009544
Source: RNAcentral